This is a non-coding RNA of Capsicum annuum, 107 nucleotides long. Lineage: Eukaryota; Viridiplantae; Streptophyta; Magnoliopsida; Solanales; Solanaceae. The record is from Rfam.
UGAUGAUGGUGAGGGCAAUUUCAGAGCAUAGCAUUGAAUCUUUCCCAGGGUUGGUAAAGAUUCCCUCCAUCUUUCUGACUAAAGCUCAGAAUCUCACCUCUUAAAUG